Small nucleolar RNA from Zingiber officinale, 90 nucleotides. RefSeq annotates it as small nucleolar RNA snoR126. The transcript has a single exon. The record is from RefSeq and is a predicted model, not a curated record. Lineage: Eukaryota; Viridiplantae; Streptophyta; Magnoliopsida; Zingiberales; Zingiberaceae.
UGGCUGUGACGACAGAUUACAUUUCUCGAUUCUGAUAAAUCUUUGAUUUGUCGACCUCUGUGAUGAUCUAUUUAUGCGUGUCUGAGCCAA